CCGGAGCAGAUCGCGCUCACCAGGCAGAAGCACACACCGCGCUUCCCGGCGCUAACACAGGGACAGGCGCUCCCUCUCUGCCCUCCGAGAAUUCCUGAUGUGCUGCCAUUUCUGCUUUGUUGGCCAGAACCUUUAUGAUGCCCCCAAGGAUGAUUCAUAGCCUGGUCUCUGACGCAUGAAAGUUGAAGCCUCAAAGUCCUACUGAAGUCAAUGAGACUCAGCUCGGUGCUAAUAAAGAACUUGUCCUCAUCUGAGAUGUGCACAUACUUCCAGCUAAAAGUUUCCUGAAGAAAUGGAGCCAUAGGUGGGCCAGUUAAUCCAGGGAAAACCCACACCCAGGUACAUUUGCUGUCACUUGCUUUACAGAUAUUCAGCAGAAAUGGCAGCCCUUCACAUCCCUCUUCACUCUGACAGAGUUCUGAAUUUCUAUCUCCAGCUACACAGCUGGUGAAGACUGACAGGAGAUAUUUCUCUUCCACACAACUGAAGAAUAUCUCCCGUAAUGGUUGCUUAGGUUGGUAAAAAGUAUUCUUUAGCAGUUGAUCAAUUAUGAAUAAAUACUCCAGCAUUUUCAAGUAACUGAUUUUGCUUUUACCUAUGCUGCACAAUGAAGGUUUAUCAAUGCAUGUCUAAGAUACAAACUAAAACUAUGUAGUGAACACAUGAGCAAGCUGUCCCUAAAUGACCUUGAUUUUCAGCC
Long non-coding RNA from Corvus moneduloides (New Caledonian crow), 700 nucleotides. The record is from Ensembl. Lineage: Eukaryota; Metazoa; Chordata; Aves; Passeriformes; Corvidae.